Molecule: transfer RNA, 85 nt
Filed under: Nothoceros aenigmaticus
Lineage: Eukaryota; Viridiplantae; Streptophyta; Anthocerotopsida; Dendrocerotales; Dendrocerotaceae
Also listed under: 1 other name
Description: tRNA-Leu
Rfam family: tRNA
About the family: Transfer RNA (tRNA) molecules are approximately 80 nucleotides in length. Their secondary structure includes four short double-helical elements and three loops (D, anti-codon, and T loops). Further hydrogen bonds mediate the characteristic L-shaped molecular structure. tRNAs have two regions of fundamental functional importance: the anti-codon, which is responsible for specific mRNA codon recognition, and the 3' end, to which the tRNAs corresponding amino acid is attached (by aminoacyl-tRNA synthetases). tRNAs cope with the degeneracy of the genetic code in two manners: having more than one tRNA (with a specific anti-codon) for a particular amino acid; and 'wobble' base-pairing, i.e. permitting non-standard base-pairing at the 3rd anti-codon position.
Source: RNAcentral
GGGGGUAUGGCGGAAUAGGUAGACGCUGCGGACUUAAAAUCCGUUGGCUUUAGAAACCGUGAGGGUUCAAGUCCCUCUACCCCCA